UCCCUGAUAGCUCAGUUAAACAAUCUGCCUGCAAUGCAGAAGACCCAGGUUCAAUCCCUGGGUUGGGAA
This is a non-coding RNA of Bos taurus (domestic cattle), 69 nucleotides long. NCBI's taxonomy places the organism in Eukaryota, Metazoa, Chordata, Mammalia, Artiodactyla, Bovidae. The record is from Rfam.